This is a long non-coding RNA of Oncorhynchus keta (chum salmon), 740 nucleotides long. RefSeq lists it as uncharacterized. The transcript has 3 exons. The record is from RefSeq and is a predicted model, not a curated record. Lineage: Eukaryota; Metazoa; Chordata; Actinopteri; Salmoniformes; Salmonidae.
GCGGAAACAAUGACCCGGGGUGGUGGUGACAGCGGGGCCUCGAGUGGUGAACACAGGGUCCGGGGAAGACGGACAAUAUGGAACGGAAGGGGCAAAGGGACCAUUAUCAAGGCGGAGGUGUGCGGCGGGUCACCUGCCACAUUUGGAAGGAACCUCCGGACCUGUCAUCAGUUCUUCCUGAGUAUCAUGAUCUAGCUCCUGUGUUCAGCAAGCACCAUCCCAUGUCGCUGCCGCCUCAUCGGCCGUACGACGGUGGGUCCUGGGUCUUCCUCCACGAACCUAGCCAAUGACGUGCUGACGGAUGUGAUUGGACGCUUCGUUUUUGUCUAUUUAGAUGACAUCCUGAUUAUUUCCAAGGACCCUGAGGCUCACCAGCAACACGUUGGCCACAUUCUUUUUUACAGACACAAUCUAUUUUACAGUAGUUAUAUAUAUAUAUAUAUAUAUUUUAGGACUUCCUCUAUCUCUGAUGUCCAUCCAGUUUGAUUUCUAUUUGUAAAUUCCUGAAUUUAUAUACAUUUUACAGACCCUGUAUGUUUUACAUUGGUUAUCUUGUUAUUAGUCCCACCCUUCAGCUCCAUUCAACCCCUCCCAUCUAUCUCUUAACACCAUCCAUUUUGGAUUUCUAUUUGCCAUUUAUUUUUCAACUGUGCUGUGAGGCUUCACAAAAGUACUGAACCAUUCUAUUCUCAUAGCUUCUACAGAUUGUAAAUUAAAAAUAAACAUUUUUGCUAAAAUAA